This 391-nucleotide unclassified non-coding RNA is filed under the name soil metagenome. RNAcentral describes it as "partial contains 5.8S ribosomal RNA, internal transcribed spacer 2, and large subunit ribosomal RNA". The stretch from base 1 to 122 matches the Rfam family "5.8S ribosomal RNA", at positions 35 to 154 of the family's 154-position model. The record is from RNAcentral.
GAUGAAGAACGUAGCGAAAUGCGAUACUUGGUGUGAAUUGCAGAAUCCCGUGAACCAUCGAGUCUUUGAACGCAAGUUGCGCCCGAAGCCACUAGGCCGAGGGCACGCCUGCCUGGGCGUCACACGCCGUUGCCCCCCCAUCUACUCCUUCGGGAUUGCGGGGGGGCGGAUGAUGGCCUCCUGUGCGCCUAGCCGCGCGGUUGGCAUAAAUACCAAGUCCUCGGCGACGCACGCCACGACAAUCGGUGGUUGCGAAACCUCGGUUGCCCGUCGUGUGCGUUCGUCGCGCAUCGAGGGCUCGAAAAAAUGCUCAGCUCCGGCUGGGCUUUCAACGCGACCCCAGGUCAGGCGGGGUUACCCGCUGAAUUUAAGCAUAUCAAUAAGCGGAGGA